UACGUAGGGCGCAAGCGUUGUCCGGAAUUAUUGGGCGUAAAGAGCUCGUAGGCGGCUUGUCGCGUCGGAUGUGAAAGCCCGGGGCUUAACCCCGGGUCUGCAUUCGAUACGGGCAGACUAGAGUUCGGUAGGGGAGACUGGAAUUCCUGGUGUAGCGGUGAAAUGCGCAGAUAUCAGGAGGAACACCGGUGGCGAAGGCGGGUCUCUGGGCCGAUACUGACGCUGAGGAGCGAAAGCGUGGGGAGCGAACAGG
RNAcentral lists this ribosomal RNA (253 nucleotides) under uncultured bacterium. RNAcentral's name for it is "partial 16S ribosomal RNA". It matches the Rfam family "Bacterial small subunit ribosomal RNA", at positions 524 to 776 of the family's 1533-position model. The record is from RNAcentral.